CCUACGGGAGGCAGCAGUGGGGAAUAUUGGACAAUGGGCGAAAGCCUGAUCCAGCAAUGCCGCGUGUGUGAAGAAGGCCUGCGGGUUGUAAAGCACUUUCGGUAGGAAAGAAAAGGCCGUCGCUAAUACCGACGGUUCUUGACGUUACCUACAGAAGAAGCACCGGCUAAUUCCGUGCCAGCAGCCGCGGUAAUACGGAAGGUGCGAGCGUUAAUCGGAAUUACUGGGCGUAAAGAGCGCGUAGGCGGUUCGAUUAGUCGGAGGUGAAAUCCCUCGGCUUAACCGAGGACCCGCGUCCGAUACUGUCGAACUUGAGUGCAGGAGAGGAGCGCGGAAUUCCCGGUGUAGCGGUGAAAUGCGUAGAGAUCGGGAGGAAGGCCGGUGGCGAAGGCGGCGCUCUGGAACGUUUCUGACGCUGAGGCUCGAAAGCGUGGGGAGCAAACAGGAUUAGAUACCCUGGUAGUCCACGCCUUAAACUAUGAAUACUAAGUGUCGGCAGUUUACUGCCGGUGCCGCAGCUAACGCAUUAAGUAUUCCGCCUGGGAAGUACGGCCGCAAGGUUGAAACUUAAAGGAAUUGACGG
This 583-nucleotide ribosomal RNA is filed under the name uncultured bacterium. RNAcentral's name for it is "bacterial SSU rRNA". It matches the Rfam family "Bacterial small subunit ribosomal RNA", at positions 338 to 916 of the family's 1533-position model. The record is from RNAcentral.